CAAGAGAUCUGCCUGCUACGUGAUGGAGGCAGGAGGUUGGAGACUUGGAGUUAUGGGGCCAGAAGGACGCACAUUUCCAUGACUCGGAUAGGCGUUGCCAGAGCGCCCUUCUGAGAGGUCGAACCUGACGCCACCCCCCCAACAGCGCGGAGUCAGCGUUUCUCUCUCCCCGCUGACGUCUGCAGGUGGAGAUCCACAGGCUCGGAACUCUCUCCAGCUGCUGGUCCUGCAACCAUAUCCCCGAAGGCCCCAGGACUCCAGUUCCUCUUCUCCCAAUCCCCACCCCAAAGUACCCGAGAGAACCAGUCACCAGGCAGAUCCAGGGUCCCAAUGCCACCUGGCGUGGCCACCAGCAGACUCCAACCCCGCUCCCCUUCCACGUGGGCGCCUGAAUACCUCUUCUCGAGGCCCGCAGCCCCCACCUCUUGACGGGACAGCGAGCUUCUGAGUUAUCGGCAGCCUUAUUUCCCUCUACAGCUCCUACAGAGUUAACAGAUGUACGCACGUCUGAGGCAGUCAUGCGGCUGCCUUUGCCCUGGUGUACCGGGAGCUGGCCUGCGUCUCACCCUUCCUCGGAGAGGUCACUUGAAGCAGGGUCCUCCUGGGUUUAUGGUCCCCUCUUCUCCUCCUCAAGGCUUCCCUGGUAGUUCAGUGGUAAAGAAGCUGCCUGUCAAGGCAGGAGACACAGGUUCGAUCCCUGGAUCGGGAAGAUCCCCUGGAGGAGGAAAUGGCAACCCACUCCAGUAUUCUCACCUGGGAAAUCCCUUGAACAGAAGAGCCUGGCAGGCUACAGUCCAUGAGGUCCUAAGAGUCAGAUGUGACUUAGUGGCUCAACAACUUCUCCUCCUCCUCUGCCCAAGUUGUCACACUCUCUGUCCCAAGAGGAAACUCUCACGGGAAUCUGAAGACCAGUCUUCUUGUCUAGCUCUGCUACUGCCCACAGGGAGUCCACGGGCAGCGACCCCUUAAAGCUCUCGCUGGCCUGUGACCAGGUCACCUUCCCUUUCACUUUGGCCCUGGUGCUCCUGGAGCCACGUCCCCCUGGCUGACCCGGCCCCGCGAGGGGGGACCCUGUCUCCCGCAGCCUCAGGACAUCUAAGCAAACCAGACAUGCUGCUCAGUUGGUUCUCUGUGCAUCAUCUGGGCCUGAGCUAUUGAAAGUGCUUUGAAAAAGGAUAAACCCUUGAUUCAACAACAGCUACAUUUUCUUUUUUUUGAGCUACAGCCAUGUGCCACGCCCAUGUAGGCCCAUGGGCAUAUUUCCUGAACUCUUGGAAGCUGGUAUCAUUAUUCCCAAAGAUUAAAGUAGGCAAUGGAGGCUCAGAGUGGUUGCAGGAUUUUCUCAAAGUGCCUCAGCUAGGAAGUGGCAGAGCUGGAACUUGAAUUCAAAUAGUAACAAUCAACUAUAAUAAUAGCAGCUAACAUGUGACAGGGGCACCCUGAGCCUUUUAAACAUUGCCUCAUUAAUCUCUCCCAGUGGCCCUGUGGGGUAGAUAUGCUUCACAUUCCCAUUUUACAGACAAAGAAGUAAGUCUCAGGAAGAUGGAACGACUGGCCUGAAGUCAUGACGCUAGGAAGUGACAGAGCUGGUCUUGAACCCCGGUCUGCCUGAAGCCAAUGCCUGCGCUGAGCAUUUGACUGUUGCUCUCACCCCUGUGCUCCUUGUCACACCUCUGUGGCUCCACAUCGCUGGCAGCGAGGCUGAUGAAGCAGGCAGCCCCAUGCAUGGAUUCGCUCCUGCAGCGGGUGCUAUACUGGAGAGCUAAGAGCAAGGGUUCUUCACUGGGGCUUCCACAGAGCUCUUCAGGUUGUACACAGACUGUGAACACCUGUGUGUCUGUGUCUAUCCAGGGAGAAGGUGCACAGAGCCUUCAUCCCAAGUCUCUGAAUCUGGGGACUUCCCGGGUGGUCCAGUGGUUAAGACUCGUCGCUCCCCAAUGCGGGGGACCCAGGUUCAAUCCCUGCUCAGGGAACUAGAUCUCACAUGCCACAGUGAAGAUCAGAGAUCCUGUGUGCUGCCACUGAGACCCAGCGCAGCCAAAUAAAUAAAUGUUUAAAAGAAACUUCCGAAUCUGUGGAUGGGUAAACACCAGGACACCCCCCAAAGUUCCUGGGUCCCCCCCCAACCAGCACGUCUCCUGCUUCAGCUCGCAUCCAAGCACUGUCUCCCAUGAUGGACUCCCAGAGAAGAAAAGCGACAGGUCAAGGCAAAUGAACCCCGCACCCCAGCUGGGCUGCAAAGGAGGCCUCGGUCCCCUCUGUAAGCAAGAUCAGACCGGCCUGAAGGGAGGGAUGAGGCACAAAGCCUCCCAGGCACUGAUUUAUGUAGCGUUCAUGUGGAAUUUAUUACACAAAGGAUUUUAUUCAAUUAAACUUGAAAUGCGUCUGGGUUCUUAAAGGUUCAGUAGUGAUAACUGGGACAGAGGGAUCAUAAAACUGGAUGGGUUGUCGGAGAAAGGUGUCAGGGCGGGGUAGGGAGG
Bos taurus (domestic cattle) is the source of this 2480-nucleotide long non-coding RNA. The record is from Ensembl. NCBI's taxonomy places the organism in Eukaryota, Metazoa, Chordata, Mammalia, Artiodactyla, Bovidae.